GGGCUCGUAACUCAGUGGUAGAGUGUACGCCUGAUAAGCGUAAAGCCGAUCGUUCAAUCCGAUUCGGGCCCA
This 72-nucleotide transfer RNA is filed under the name Petalonia binghamiae. Its description in RNAcentral is "Endarachne binghamiae tRNA-Ile". It matches the Rfam family "tRNA". Rfam says of the family: Transfer RNA (tRNA) molecules are approximately 80 nucleotides in length. Their secondary structure includes four short double-helical elements and three loops (D, anti-codon, and T loops). Further hydrogen bonds mediate the characteristic L-shaped molecular structure. tRNAs have two regions of fundamental functional importance: the anti-codon, which is responsible for specific mRNA codon recognition, and the 3' end, to which the tRNAs corresponding amino acid is attached (by aminoacyl-tRNA synthetases). tRNAs cope with the degeneracy of the genetic code in two manners: having more than one tRNA (with a specific anti-codon) for a particular amino acid; and 'wobble' base-pairing, i.e. permitting non-standard base-pairing at the 3rd anti-codon position. Lineage: Eukaryota; Phaeophyceae; Ectocarpales; Scytosiphonaceae. The record is from RNAcentral.